Molecule: unclassified non-coding RNA, 274 nt
Filed under: uncultured Glomerales
Lineage: Eukaryota; Fungi; Glomeromycota; Glomeromycetes; Glomerales; Glomeraceae
Description: sequence contains 5.8S rRNA gene, ITS2, 28S rRNA gene
Source: RNAcentral
AACGCAAAUUGCACUCUUCGGUUUUUCCGAGAGUAUGCCUGUUUGAGGGUCGGUAAAAUGAAAUAUCGAUUUGUUGCUUAUUGCAACAUUUCGGAGUUGGAUUAACUUAAUAUUCUUAAGUGGCCUAAAAUUCAUUACCUCGGUAUGAUUAACGUUCUUAAUGAUUUCGUUUUGAAUGCCGAAUUUCUUAUUAGACGGUGACUAUUUUAUAGCAUCACUUCUAUAAUUUUUGAAUUUCGACCUCAAAUCAAGUAAGAUUACCCGCUGAACUUAA